GGAGGAUCCGAGCGUUAUCCGGAUUUAUUGGGUUUAAAGGGAGCGUAGGCGGACGCUUAAGUCAGUUGUGAAAGUUUGCGGCUCAACCGUAAAAUUGCAGUUGAAACUGGCAGUCUUGAGUACAGUAGAGGUGGGCGGAAUUCGUGGUGUAGCGGUGAAAUGCUUAGAUAUCACGAAGAACUCCGAUUGCGAAGGCAGCUCACUAGACUGUCACUGACACUGAUGCUCGAAAGUGUGGGUAUCAAACAGGAUUAGAUACCCUGGUAGUCCACACAGUAAACGAUGAUAACUCGCUGUCGGCGAUACACGGUCGGCGGCUAAGCGAAAGCGAUAAGUUAUCCACCUGGGGAGU
Molecule: ribosomal RNA, 352 nt
Filed under: uncultured bacterium
Lineage: Bacteria
Description: bacterial SSU rRNA
Rfam family: Bacterial small subunit ribosomal RNA
Source: RNAcentral